Molecule: unclassified non-coding RNA, 21 nt
Filed under: Chlamydomonas reinhardtii
Lineage: Eukaryota; Viridiplantae; Chlorophyta; Chlorophyceae; Chlamydomonadales; Chlamydomonadaceae
Description: small RNA Cre_0866
Source: RNAcentral
CAAUGGAAGUAUGAGGCGAUA